GUGAGGAAUAUUGGUCAAUGGACGGAAGUCUGAACCAGCCAUGCCGCGUGCAGGAAUAAGGUCCUAUGGAUUGUAAACUGCUUUUAUUCGGGAAUAAACCUCUUUACGUGUAGGGAGCUGAAGGUACCGAAGGAAUAAGCACCGGCUAACUCCGUGCCAGCAGCCGCGGUAAUACGGAGGGUGCAAGCGUUAUCCGGAAUCAUUGGGUUUAAAGGGUCCGCAGGCGGGCUAUCAAGUCAGAGGUGAAAUCCCACAGCUUAACUGUGGAACUGCCUUUGAAACUGAUGGUCUUGAAUUCAGUGGGCGUUGGCGGAAUAUGACAUGUAGCGGUGAAAUGCAUAGAUAUGUCAUGGAACACCGAAAGCGAAGGCAGCUAACGAUACUUAUAUUGACGCUCAUGGACGAAAGCGUGGGUAGCGAACAGGAUUAGAUACCCGGGUAGUCC
Molecule: ribosomal RNA, 445 nt
Filed under: uncultured bacterium
Lineage: Bacteria
Description: partial 16S ribosomal RNA
Rfam family: Bacterial small subunit ribosomal RNA
Source: RNAcentral